AAAUCGUGGGAUGAGUUGUGGUUAGGGGUGAAAUGCCAAUCGAACUCGGAGCUAGCUGGUUCUCCCCGAAAUGCGUUGAGGCGCAGCGAUUGACGAUGAGCUGCCUAGGGGUAAAGCACUGUUUCGGUGCGGGCUGCGAGAGCGGUACCAAAUCGUAGCAAACUAAGAAUACUAGGCAUGUCCUUCCGGCAAUCAGUGAGACAGUGGGGGAUAAGCUCCAUUGUCAAGAGGGAAACAGCCCAGAUCACCAGCUAAGGCCCCAAAAUGAUCGCUAAGUGGAAAAGGAGGUGAGAGUGCAGAAACAGCCAGAAGGUUUGCUUAGAAGCAGCCACCCUUUAAAGAGUGCGUAAUAGCUCACUGGUGGAGCGUUCUCGCGCCGAAAAUUUACGGGACUAAGCGGUCUGCCGAAGCUGUGGGAUAGAUGUAUAAAUUUGUUUGAGAGUCUGUUCACUUUGUCAUCACUUUGCCUGCAAAGUGAGAAAGUGAAAAAAAAUGAUGACAAAACAUUCAAGAGAGAUGCAUGUAUCGGUAGGGGAGCGUUCCGCUCUAGGGUGAAGCAAGGGUGUAAACACUUGUGGACGAAGCGGAAGUGAGAAUGUCGGCUUGAGUAACGCAAACAUUGGUGAGAAUCCAAUGCCCCGAAAACCUAAGGCUUCCUUCACUAGGUUCGUCCAUGGAGGGUUAGUCGGGUCCUAAGGCAAGGCCGAAGGGCGUAGUCGAUGGAAAACAGGUUAAUAUUCCUGUACUUCCUCUUGGUAGGCACCGAGGGACGAAGGAGGCACGAGAUGGCUAAAAUUGGAUUUUAGUGGAAGUGUACAAGGCAAAGAGGACCAGAAGAGAAACUGAGUCUAAGCUGAGUCACCACACGGCCCCACAACUAGUCGAUCCCCUGUGGAUUUGCUUAGUGGGGCUUAUCUCUCCCUGUCAAACUUCCUAGAAAAGCUCGAACUGCUUUGUUACCAAGAGGAACCCGUACCCCAAACCGACACAGGUAGGUGGGUAGAGAAUACCUAGGGGCGCGAGAUAACUCUCUCUAAGGAACUCGGCAAAAUGGCCCCGUAACUUCGGGAGAAGGGGUGCCCCCGCAAGGGGGCCGCAGUGACCAGGCCCAGGCGACUGUUUACCAAAAACACAGGUCUCCGCUAAGUCGCAAGACAACAUAUGGGGGCUGACGCCUGCCCGGUGCCGGAAGGUGAAGGAAGUUGGUUAUCCUUUAGGAGAAGCUGGCGACCGAAGCCCCGGUGAACGGCGGCCGUAACUAUGACGGUCCUAAGGUAGCGAAAUUCCUUGUCGGGUAAGUUCCGACCCGCACGAAAGGCGUAACGAUCUGGGCACUGUCUCAGAGAGAGACUCGGUGAAAUAGACAUGUCCGUGAAGAUGCGGGCUUCCUACACCUGGACAGAAAGACCCUAUGAAGCUUUACUGUAGCUUGGAAUUGGGUUUGGGCCCCUUUUGCGCAGCCUAGGUGGGAGGCUAUGAGAGUCCUCUUCCGGGAGGGCUGGAGCCAUCAGUGAGAGACCACUCUGGAGGGGCUAGAAUCCUAACGGUGUUCCUUGAAACAGGACGCUUAACAGUUUCAGGUGGGCAGUUUGACUGGGGCGGUCACCUCCUAAAAGGUAACGGAGGUGUGCAAAGGUUCCCUCAGGCUGGACGGAAAUCAGCCGUAGAGUGUAAAGGCAUAAGGGAGCUUGACUGCAAGACCUACAAGUCGAGCAGGGGCGAAAGCCGGCCUUAGUGAUCCGACGGUGCCGCGUGGAAGGGCCGUCGCUCAACGGAUAAAAGUUACUCUAGGGAUAACAGGCUGAUCUUCCCCAAGAGUUCACAUCGACGGGAAGGUUUGGCACCUCGAUGUCGGCUCAUCGCAACCUGGGGCGGUAGUACGUCCCAAGGGUUGGGCUGUUCGCCCA
This 1907-nucleotide ribosomal RNA is filed under the name Coccomyxa viridis. RNAcentral describes it as "partial 23S ribosomal RNA". It matches the Rfam family "Bacterial large subunit ribosomal RNA", at positions 794 to 2587 of the family's 2925-position model. Lineage: Eukaryota; Viridiplantae; Chlorophyta; Trebouxiophyceae; Coccomyxaceae. The record is from RNAcentral.